This is an unclassified non-coding RNA of 336 nucleotides. It matches the Rfam family "Metazoan signal recognition particle RNA". Rfam says of the family: The signal recognition particle (SRP) is a universally conserved ribonucleoprotein. The record is from Ensembl.
GCCGGGCACGGUGGCGCACGCCUGUAAUCCCAGUUACUCGCGAGGCUGAGACAGGAGGAUAGCUUGAGUUCAGGAGUUCUGGGCUAUAGUGCGCUAUGCGGAUCCGGUGUCCGCACUAAGUUCGGCGUCAAUAUAGUGACCUCCUGGGAGCGGGUGGGGGGGGGUAGAGGGGAGCACCAGGUUGCCUAAGGAGGGGUGAACCGGCCUAAGGAGGGGUGAACCGGCCCAGGACGGAAAUGGAGCAGGUCAAAAAGAUCGCAAUAUACAUUAUUUCACUCUCUCUGUUUAGCCCUUAAUUCUUAUGUGCUUGUCUAACAAAAGUAAAUUAUAAUUUUA